GGUAGUGUUGUUAACCACGUCCAGAAUCAUCUGAAGUUGGCUGUCCAUCAGGAUGAUUUCACAAUUGUCAAGUGUAACUUAAAAUGCAGGGAAUAUGCGCAUUUUCAUUGCUGCUACUGUCCUGCCACUGUUCUUCGAAGAGGCCAGUUAAAAACACAUCUCACAAAAUGCAAGCAGAAGUUCAAUGCUGAAGAAGAAUUUGAAGGAACCUACUCAUUUGAGGAUAGUCCUGAACAUGAGUAGUGUAUUUAUUUAUUUUUUAGUUCUGAUACUGUUGAUUCACUAGUUCAUACAUUUAGUUCCCUGUUAGCAACAGGUAACACUCAGAACUGUAGUAUUUGGUGGAUUAUGAAACUAUGUUGUGGGAAAUAAACAUUUACUAAGAAUGCA
This is a long non-coding RNA of Cyprinus carpio (common carp), 390 nucleotides long. RefSeq lists it as uncharacterized. The transcript is spliced from 2 exons. Lineage: Eukaryota; Metazoa; Chordata; Actinopteri; Cypriniformes; Cyprinidae. The record is from RefSeq and is a predicted model, not a curated record.